Molecule: ribosomal RNA, 493 nt
Filed under: uncultured bacterium
Lineage: Bacteria
Description: partial 16S ribosomal RNA
Rfam family: Bacterial small subunit ribosomal RNA
Source: RNAcentral
GACGAACGCUGGCGGCGUGCCUAACACAUGCAAGUUGAGCGACGAACCAGGGCUUGCCCUCGCGCAAAGCCGCGAACGGGUGAGUAAUACGUGGGUAACCUACCCCGAUAACCGGGACAACCCGAGAAAACUCGGGCUAUUACCGGAUGUGCUCACUGGACUUCGGUUCUGUGCGUACAGGAAGCUUCCGCCUCCGUAUCGGAAGGGGCUAGCGGCGCGUGAGUUUGUUGGUGAGGUAAGGGCACACCAAGCCCGCGAGGGGUAGCUGGUCUGAGAGGACGGUCAGACACACGGGCUGUGAGACACGGCCCAGACUCCUGCGGUGGGCAGCAGUGGGGAAUCUUGCGCGAGGCGCGAAAGCGGGACGCAGCAACACCGCGUGGGGGAAGAAGGCCUUCGGGUUGGAAACCGCUGAAGGGAGGAGCGAAGGAAAGGCGGUGUAUAGGCGACCGUACUGACGGUACCUGGAGAAGAAGCCCCGGCUAACUACGUG